Helianthus annuus (common sunflower) is the source of this 3837-nucleotide RNA transcript. It is a transcript of the gene named DEAD-box ATP-dependent RNA helicase 30, with no coding region annotated. The transcript is spliced from 10 exons. NCBI's taxonomy places the organism in Eukaryota, Viridiplantae, Streptophyta, Magnoliopsida, Asterales, Asteraceae. The record is from RefSeq and is a predicted model, not a curated record.
GUUACCAAAGAUAACUGAAGACGGGCAACAAAAUAUCUAAAACACCAAAAUUCCCAUCCCAGAAAGUGAAUCAAAUCAAGAGAAAAUAUCUUCUUCCUGUCAUUCUCUUUUUCCUAAUUGGGAUCGGUCAAACAAACCCUAACCCUAAAAUUUGGGUCUAUUCAACCUCUACAGUGAUGAAUCAUUACGACGACAGAGUUGUGGACGCCGGUUCUUACCAUCAGCGUCGAAGUGUUUUUAUGGGAUUACCGCCUACAGCGGGACUCCCUGCGGUGGGUGCUGCUCCGAACUAUGGCCCCGGUGGACUGGCUACAUUCAGAGGUCCUCCGCCGGUACUGCCUCAUUUGGCAAGCGCUGGAAGAGGUGUUGGAAAUGGAUAUCCUCCAUUUGAACCUGGAGUUGGUGGAGCUUUUAAUAUAGGUGUAGGUGGGGGAGGGGGAGGGAGGGGAUUUGGUGGUAGAGGUGGUGGUAGGGGUGGUGGUGGUGGUGGAAGAAUGAGCAAUGCAGGACAUGAUGGUGGUAGAGGUAGAGGAGGUAGAAGUUUUGAUUCGGGUGGUCGUGGUGGAAGCAGAGGUGGCGGAGGUAGGGGUUUUGACAGAGGGCAGCGCGGUGGUGGGCGUGAUGGAGGUAGAGGGUUUAGCAGCGGUGGGCGAGGUGGAGGGAGAGGGUUUAGCGAUGGUGGACGAGGUGGAGGGAGAGGGUUUAGUGGUGGUGGACGAGGUGGAGGGAGAGGGUUUGAUGGUGGGCGUGGGGGUGGAAGAGGAGGAAGAGGUGGUGGCUCAAAAGGAGAUUUGGAUAGUAUAGCUCUACCAAAACAGGAUUUUGGAAACUUGGUGCCAUUUGAGAAGAACUUCUACAUCGAGUGUCGUGCUGUAAGUGACAUGACGGACCACGAGGUGGCAAUGUAUCGUGGUAGGAGGGAAAUUACCGUUGAAGGUCAUGACGUCCCGAAGCCGGUCAGAAUGUUUCACGAGGCAGGUUUUCCUGGCUAUUGUCUAGAAGUCAUUUCUAGACUGGGAUUUAGUGAGCCAACACCAAUUCAGUCACAAGGAUGGCCUAUGGCGUUAAAGGGAAGAGAUUUAAUCGGGAUUGCCGAGACUGGUUCUGGCAAGACUUUGUCAUAUUUGCUGCCUGCAAUUGUUCACGUUACCGCACAACCUCCAUUGGCUCAAGGAGAUGGUCCAGUUGUGCUAGUAUUAGCUCCUACUCGAGAACUGGCUGUACAAAUUCAACAAGAAGCUGGAAAAUUCGGGUCACAAUCUAGAAUAAGAAGCACUUGCAUCUACGGUGGUGCUCCUAAGGGACCACAAAUUCGUGAUCUUCAAGGAGGGGUUGAAAUCGUUAUUGGCACACCUGGUCGGUUAAUCGAUAUGUUAGAAGCCCAGCAUACAAACUUGAAAAGAGUGACUUAUCUUGUCUUGGACGAAGCUGAUCGAAUGUUAGAUAUGGGGUUUGAACCACAAAUCAGGAAAAUUAUAUCCCAAAUCAGACCCGAUAGACAAACACUUUAUUGGAGUGCAACAUGGCCUAAAGAGGUUGAGAGUUUAGCAAGACAGUUUCUAAGCAAUCCAUACAAGGUUAUCAUUGGAUCCCCUGUUCUGAAAGCAAAUCAGUCAAUAAAUCAGAUUGUUGAAGUUGUAACAGAUUUGGAAAAGUAUAAUCGGCUGAUCAAACUGCUGAAAGAAAUGAUGGACGGAAACAGAAUUCUUAUAUUUGUGGAAACAAAGAAAGGAUGUGAUCAAGUUACACGACAACUUAGAAUGGAUGGAUGGCCCGCACUAUCCAUUCAUGGUGAUAAAAGCCAAGAUGAACGGGACUGGGUUUUGGCAGAGUUUAAAAGUGGCAGGAGUCUUAUAAUGACAGCAACUGACGUUGCUGCCCGUGGUCUUGGUAGGAUCACUAUGUGUUAGUCUGUUAGGAAGUUGUAGUCUUUUUAGGUCACAAAAUCACUAACAUAUGGGAGUCGCCGGCUGCUGUCUACUUACCUGAGAAAAUAAUUUGUGGUUUGGGUGCGAAAAGGAGGUGCUAGAAAUGGUUGUUGGUGAGCUGGAUUUGUUCAGCUUUAGCAUUGUUUUCUCUUCUCUUUUAGAAUCUAGUUUCUAAUUGGCAUUUGGUAAUGCAUAAAAGCGUAAAGGGUUAGGAAAACACCUCUCUGGUCUAGUCUGCAGCAGAAUUCCGUAUCUGGUAGAAUAUUUUACUUGGGCUGCUAAAGCAAACACAUAAGAAGCUAAGCACAUGCUGUGGGUCGGUCAUUGCUCGUUAUAUUCGGUGGUUCGGUUUAUUUGGUCACACUUAACUGAACCCGACCACUUUUAAGUAGACAUACUAGAAGAAUACAAAUUUUUUACUUAGAAUGAUGUAAUAUAUUUCAAGGGGUAGGUUAACAUACAAUAGCCCCUUAACGUGCGACGGUGCGAAGUGAAUUACACAUGUUUAUUUUUUAAAUACGCACGUUUUAAUACAUAAUUACCCACAUUAUUUGCAUAAUUACACAUAGGUUGGGUUAACCCUAAUUAAGCACAUCAUUUUUGUGGUCACAUACCGUCGCACCUUAAGAGCCUUUUGUAUUUUAAACUUUCACUAUGUUUCAAAUCUUUUUUCUUUUCUAAAGUUAAAAUUCUUGAUAAAUUAGUUUUGAAAAUUCUGACUUUACCCUUGGCUUUAAGAAAUUUAUACGCUUCCACUAUUUUUCUAUACUAUUGAUAAAAGUUAUAGUGUGCAUUUUCAAAGUGUUUAGUGCAACUUAAAGCAGCAGAAUCAGUGACUAUUUUGUAGUACACUUAUGCCAUGAAUGCGUUGCGCCUUAUGUUUAAUACCUUGGUCAGUAAAUAGGCUAUGUUCUACUUGACAAUGCAUGUCAUAUAUAGUUUUCACAAAGCAUCCCAAUAUUAACAAUUUUGGUCUUUUAUCGAGAGCUAAUGGAGGACUAAUAGAUUUAGGAUGCAAGUAGAAUGCAAUUUACAUAGGGCGUACUAGGUCUUAUAAGCGUGGUAUUGUCCUCUUACAUUCAUGUGGUUGGUAUUCAACUCUGAAAGCAAGGGAGAGAUAAGGAGGUUGGUUGAACUUGCUCUAAUAUUACUGUUUUACCCUUCAUCUUUAGAAAUUAUCGCUGCCCAAACACGGUUAUGAGGUUGGUGGUCGUGACAGUCCGGUUGACUCGUACAAACAAAAGCUUUUUUAUUGGUUAUGAAAAUGGAAUUGCGGCGGAGUUAUUGGUGGUUGCUGCUCCUUAUCCCUGCAAAAGGUUGAGAUGUGAAGGGCAUAAAAUGCGUCAUCAAUUAUGAUUUUCCAACAAGCCUCGAGGAUUAUGUCCAUAGGAUAGGGCGAACUGGUCGUGCAGGAGCCAAGGGGAUUGCUGUUACAUUUUUUACCCAUUCAAAUGCUAAGCAUGCUAGAGAGCUUGUUAAGAUUCUUCAAGAGGCUGGUCAAGUUGUUCCUGUUGCAUUGUCGUCUAUGACCCGGACCAUGGGUCCUGGAGCAGGUUCUGGUGGGAGCUUUAGGUCGAGAGGUAGAGGUGGGUUUGGGAAUCGAGGUGGGAUGUCGGGAUCUAAUACUGUUCCUCUUGGUUCCAACGCUCAUUGGUAGCUUCUUUGUUUACUGAGUGUAGAAUGUUAAGAUUACAAGUAGUUGAGCGUGUUCAAUUAAUUAAUCAUAUAUUUGCUGCGGACUCAAGUUUCACAAAACCCCCCAUUACACUUGCAGUAGCGGGCGUUUCACUUUCAGGUUAUAUGCUGCUAAUGUUUCAGUUUUAGAUCAUAGAUAUGCAAUGUCCUGUGUGGAAAAAUCCUUUUCGUUUUUUGCAAUGCAUUGGCAAUGGGUCGUGCUUUGUUUUGAUAA